GACGAACGCUGGCGGCGUGCCUAAUACAUGCAAGUAGAACGCUGAAGGAGGAGCUUGCUUCUCUGGAUGAGUUGCGAACGGGUGAGUAACGCGUAGGUAACCCGCCUGGUAGCGGGGGAUAACUAUUGGAAACGAUAGCUAAUACCGCAUAAGAGUAGAUGUUGCAUGACAUUUGCUUAAAAGGUGCAAUUGCAUCACUACCAGAUGGACCUGCGUUGUAUUAGCUAGUUGGUGGGGUAACGGCUCACCAAGGCGACGAUACAUAGCCGACCUGAGAGGGUGAUCGGCCACACUGGGACUGAGACACGGCCCAGACUCCUACGGGAGGCAGCAGUAGGGAAUCUUCGGCAAUGGACGGAAGUCUGACCGAGCAACGCCGCGUGAGUGAAGAAGGUUUUCGGAUCGUAAAGCUCUGUUGUAAGAGAAGAACGAGUGUGAGAGUGGAAAGUUCACACUGUGACGGUAUCUUACCAGAAAGGGACGGCUAACUACGUG
RNAcentral lists this ribosomal RNA (495 nucleotides) under uncultured bacterium. RNAcentral's name for it is "partial 16S ribosomal RNA". It matches the Rfam family "Bacterial small subunit ribosomal RNA", at positions 28 to 507 of the family's 1533-position model. The record is from RNAcentral.